CCGAGUGUCGGGCCCUCUGGGUCCAACCUCCCACCCGUGUUUAUUGUACCCUGUUGCUUCGGCGGGCCCGCUGGUCCGCCAGCCGCCGGGGGGGCACCUGCCCCCCGGGUCCGCGCCCGCCGAAGACACCCUGAACGCUAUGUGAAGUAUGCAGUCUGAGCGAUUAUACCAAUCGUUA
RNAcentral lists this unclassified non-coding RNA (178 nucleotides) under uncultured Trichocomaceae. RNAcentral describes it as "sequence contains ITS1". Lineage: Eukaryota; Fungi; Ascomycota; Eurotiomycetes; Eurotiales; Trichocomaceae. The record is from RNAcentral.